This 2136-nucleotide long non-coding RNA is filed under the name Arabidopsis lyrata. RNAcentral's name for it is "long non-coding RNA (ALYR_LNC002091)". Lineage: Eukaryota; Viridiplantae; Streptophyta; Magnoliopsida; Brassicales; Brassicaceae. The record is from RNAcentral.
UCAAUUCCAUCUACUUGUCUGCGUGGAACAAUAGUUUCACAGGGAACAUACCUCUCUCAAUCUGCAACCGAAGCUCUCUCGUCGUCCUUGAUCUAUCCUACAACAACUUCACCGGUCCAAUUCCUCAAUGUCUAAGUAACUUAAAAGUAGUGAAUCUGAGGAAGAACAGCUUGGAAGGAAGUAUACCUGACAAGUUCUAUAGAGGUGCUUUGACACAGACGCUUGACGUUGGUUACAAUCGACUAACCGGGAAGAUUCCAAAAUCACUUUUAAAUUGCUCCUUUCUGAAGUUUCUGAGUGUUGACAACAACAGAAUUGAAGACACGUUUCCUUUCUGGCUGAAGGCGCUACCCAAUUUGCAUGUCUUUACUCUCCGUUCAAACAGAUUCUUCGGCCAUCUCUCUCCUCCUGAUCGAGGUCCUCUCGCAUUUCCUGAGCUGCGGAUACUUGAAUUGUCGGAUAACAGCUUUACCGGAAGCUUGCCACCAAGUUUCUUUGUUAACUGGAAAGCAUCAUCAGUCAAGAUAAAUGAAGAUGGGCGUAUGUAUAUGGGAGACUACAAAAAUGCUUAUUAUAUCUAUGAAGACACUUUGGAUUUGCAAUACAAAGGUCUAUUCAUGGAGCAGGGGAAAGUCCUUACUUCCUACAGCACCAUUGAUUUCUCUGGAAACAAACUUGAAGGACAGAUUCCUGAGUCCAUUGGUCUGUUGAAGGAAUUGAUUGCGCUCAACUUAUCAAACAACGCCUUUACUGGCCAUAUUCCUAUGUCUUUGGCAAAUGUUACGGAGCUUGAGUCACUAGACCUGUCAAGAAACCAACUAUCAGGGAAUAUUCCUAGAGAACUCGGAAGCCUUUCGUUUUUGGCGUAUGUAAGUGUGGCUCAUAAUCAACUCAAAGGUGAAAUACCACAAGGACCACAGUUUAGUGGGCAAGCUGAAUCAUCAUUUGAAGGGAAUGUAGGUCUAUGUGGUCUUCCUCUCCAGGGAAAUUGCUUUGCGCCACCAACACUCUAUUCAAAGGAAGAAGACGAAGAAGAAGAAGAGGACGAAGUGUUAAACUGGAAAGCAGUGGUUAUCGGGUAUUGGCCUGGACUGUUACUUGGAUUGGUAAUGGCACACGUCAUUGCUUCAUUCAAGCCGAAGUGGUAUGUCAAGAUAGUUGGUCCAGAUAAGGGCAAGCAAGUAGAUCCAGUUAGAUUGUUUAUGACUCUGGAUUCAAGAUGGGACAGUUUUAAUAAUAAGGAUAAUGUAGAAGAAGAAAGUGAUACGAAAAUAUAGAAUGUGGAUAUGUUGUUACCUGAUGUAAGAAAGAAGUUGACUAGUUUCUGUAACUUUUGGUUCCCUAAAUUAAGAUCUCUCUUUUGGCUGAUAAUAUCCUGAUGUAUCUCUUGGUAGAUUGUUGAGGUAGAGGCUUAUGACAUAAGGCAUUGGUUCUUCUCUGAUUCUUGAAUUAACCCGAGCCGAUGUUUCUUAAUGCACGAAAACCGUUGUUUCAGCUUCCUAUUAAGACAAACUGGAUGAAAUGAACAUAAGACAGUCCGAGCCUGUAAGAUCAUACAAGUCUCAAGAAUUCAAUCUCAGAACAGACAUUCACGAGAAUCUCUUUUUUAAAAUGUAAAUGCUACCACUCACAAUUGAUACAAAUCAGUUUAUAUCAUGAGAGGACUUACCAAAUAUAACAAUCUUGUUACACUUUGAACUAACAUUCUCAGAUAACAGAGUAUGCACAACAUAUCAAUCCAGAGUAGCUAAAACCCUAGAAUCAAAUUCACUAAAUUGAUUUCAUUUCAUGAUUCGAUUAUUCUUGCUUAUCAAAUCACGAGAGAAAAAAAAAAAAAAAAAAAAGAGUACAACAAAUGAGAUCACCUGGAACUACUUGAUUUAGGAAGCCUCUACCAAAACGUCGACGAGAGUGACGGUGAUCGCAAUAGCUCCGCCGUCGUCGCAUCAUAAAAUCUCCUUCUCGAUUUGUUUGUUACUAAAGUAGACUUUACAGGAAAUACUAACAAUCUGGUUAAUUAAAUUAUUAUUACCGGUUUUGUCUAAAUUGGUUUACUUACUGCUGGUUUAGCAUUUUAAAAAAUUAGUGCUGCUGGUUCAGCUUCUUUUUACUACAAACAAACACCAAAGAGAUCUA